This 695-nucleotide long non-coding RNA is filed under the name Heterocephalus glaber (naked mole-rat). Its description in RNAcentral is "lncRNA (ENSHGLG00000040106.1)". The record is from RNAcentral. Lineage: Eukaryota; Metazoa; Chordata; Mammalia; Rodentia; Bathyergidae.
CACUUGGUGGUGCGCAACUGCCUGCAGCCGCAGGCCCGGUUGCUGAAGGAGUUGAGCGACUACCUGACCAACCUGCACAGUCUGGGGACCCGGAGCGAGGGCCUGGUCAACCUCCUCUUCAGCAAGCUCAGCCUGCACGAUGGGGGCAAGGAGAACUGAGCGUGGACUGUCCCGGGCCGGGCCCAGGGCUCCCCCUGGUCUCCAGGCAGGCCACGCGCUCCUCCAUCACUGCUUUCAUGUCCCUUCUUUGUUGCACUGUUGCUUCCAAUAUAAAGUUACUUGGUUCUUAACGAAAAAAGAAAAAAAGAAGUCUUGCUCCGCAACUUGUUAAAAACUUGGGUAUGGUAAAAAAUAAUAUGGUGAAUGCUGCUGUCCAGUGUAUCCAAUGGAAAGGAUGGAUCAUAAAACCAUGGCAGUGUUUCCUCAUUGGCUUUAUUCAUCUGAUCAGAUACCAUGUGACUUCUGGCUCUUCCUCCAAGUCAAAAUGACCCUGAAAUGUAUGGAGCCAAAGAAGAUGGAACAUAUUCUUAGGUGAACAAUUGAAAAAUUUUUUAAAGUAGCUCAAUUUUUCACCCUAAUCUCUGUUGAGAUCUACAUCACCCACACUCUCCUCAUGUAGAAUAUUCUAUUAUUCCCACUUUUCUACUUACCCAAAAACUGAGCUCAAAUUUCACUUCCUCAAGGAAACUUUCCAG